RNAcentral lists this long non-coding RNA (337 nucleotides) under Mytilus galloprovincialis (Mediterranean mussel). Lineage: Eukaryota; Metazoa; Mollusca; Bivalvia; Mytilida; Mytilidae. The record is from RNAcentral.
UAUCCGGAUGAAACUCCCUCAAUUUUCAAGACCGAGGUCUAUUCUAAUGAGAAUUUACUCAAUACAAUAUUACAAACGUAUGUUUGAUGAGGCAUUAAAAUGAUACCUAAGGCCUUACUUUUUGCUAGGAAUAAAAGUUUAUUCUUGAUUUCGGGUUUCUCUCUCAUUUAUAUCGUCUCAAGCAAGAUGACCCCGUGAAUUAAAAGACCGAUUUAUAUGACAGGAAAUGGAACUCCGUCAUGAUUUUUUAUAUUAUUCAUCAUACUUCCGCCUGAGCCAGACAUGGUUUAUAGCUCUGCGGGUGCGCUGUUGGUAUCCCGAUUGAUCUCGAGCAGCG